This 1321-nucleotide long non-coding RNA is filed under the name Marmota monax (woodchuck). Lineage: Eukaryota; Metazoa; Chordata; Mammalia; Rodentia; Sciuridae. The record is from RNAcentral.
UAAAAAGGGGGAGUCGCGUCGGAGUCCUGCCAGCUCUCUGCAGGAGCCAGAGGGGCGCUCCAGACACCAGGACAAGUACUCAGUGCUCUUACCUACCUACAACAAGCGCGAGAACCUGCCGCUCAUCGUGUGGCUGCUGGUGAAGAGCUUCUCUGAGAGUGGAAUCAACUAUGAAAUUAUAAUCAUAGAUAAUGAAAGCCCAGAUGGAACAAAGGAUGUCACUGAACAGUUGGAAAAGAUCUAUGGACCAGUCAAAAUUUUGUUGAUAGACCUUUAUUUUAUUUAUUUAUAUGUGGUGUUGAGAAUCGAACCCAGUGCUUCACACAUGCCAGACCUUUGCAUGUUGUCAAAAAGAAAAGAAAUAUGUCCUGCUUGAAUUCUAGGAAGGCUUUGUUAGAGAUUUGGCAGUCUGCGGUGAACUGCUCAUAACACAGCCAAAUUCAGAAGGGGACAAGAUACGCUCACUAGUUUCCAGCCAGAGGAAAACGCUAAACAACGAAAUCAGGGGCCAGAUAUGAAGCAAAAAGUUUACAAGACUAAGUAAUUGGAAAACUGUUAAGAAGGAGGAAAACUUCACCUUUUUUUAGGAACAUAAUUUGUUAUUGGAACAGUAGAGAAUGAGAUGAAGUCAUCCAAGUGUGAAGUUAAGAUUAAGUUUUUGGAGGAAGGGUGAUGUCAGCAUUGAAAAUCACAGGGAAUCAGGAGACUAAACGUGGCUAUCAGUUAUUCUGAAAAGCUUCUAAGACGGCGGGAGAAAAAACUGGGAUUAGGAACUACAUAUAUUCAUGGAAUGGAACAUGCCACAGGAAACCAUAUAGUUAUUAUGGAUGCUGAUCUCUCACACCAUCCAAAAUUUAUUCCUGAAUUCAUUAGGAAGCAAAAAUAGAGUAAUUUUGAUAUUGUCUCUGGAACUCGCUACAAAGGAAAUGGUGGUGUAUAUAGCUGGGAUUUUAAAGAAAAAUAAUCAGAUUAUAUCAAAAGGAAGUUCUACAGAAAUUAAUAGAAAAAUGUGUUUCUAAGGGCUAUGUCUUCCAGAUGAUGAUGAUUGUUCGGGCAAGACAGAUGAAUUAUACUAUUGGUGAGGUUCCAAUAUCAUUUGUGGAUCGUGUUUAUGGUGAAUCCAAGUUGGGAGGAAAUGAAAUAGUCUCUUUCUUGAAAGGAUUGUUGACUCUUUUUGCUACUACAUAAAAGAAAGUUAUUCAUUUAUGCUUACCAUGUCAUUUCAAUGUAAACAUAAAAAAAGCCUGGUUACUGAUUUUUGUAAAAUGUACUCUUAAAGCAUAAACCAUGAGGUAAGAAAAUUUUCAUGCAAAUCUUUUCU